This 75-nucleotide transfer RNA is filed under the name Candidatus Levybacteria bacterium RIFCSPHIGHO2_01_FULL_41_15. RNAcentral's name for it is "tRNA-Pro". It matches the Rfam family "tRNA". Rfam says of the family: Transfer RNA (tRNA) molecules are approximately 80 nucleotides in length. Their secondary structure includes four short double-helical elements and three loops (D, anti-codon, and T loops). Lineage: Bacteria; Candidatus Levyibacteriota. The record is from RNAcentral. RNAcentral also lists the same sequence under 1 other name.
CGGAGACUAGUUCAUCGGUAGAACGCUCGGUUCGGGACCGAGAGGUAGAGGGUUCAAUUCCCUCGUCUCCGACCA